GUUACGCUAAUACCGCAUACGAUCUAAGGAUGAAAGUGGGGGAUCGCAAGACCUCAUGCUCGUGGGAGCGGCCGAUAUCUGAUUAGCUAGUUGGUAGGGGUAAAAAGCCUACCAAGGCAUCGAUCAGUAGCUGGUCUGAGAGGACGACCAGCCACACUGGAACUGAGACACGGUCCAGACUCCUACGGGAGGCAGCAGUGGGGAAUUUUGGACAAUGGGCGAAAGCCUGAUCCAGCAAUGCCGCGUGAGUGAAGAAGGCCUUCGGGUUGUAAAGCUCUUUUGUCAGGGAAGAAACGGUGAGAGCUAAUAUCUCUUGCUAAUGACGGUACCUGAAGAAUAAGCACCGGGCUAACUACGUGCCCAGCAGCCGCGGGUAAAUA
This 380-nucleotide ribosomal RNA is filed under the name uncultured Janthinobacterium sp. Its description in RNAcentral is "bacterial SSU rRNA". It matches the Rfam family "Bacterial small subunit ribosomal RNA", at positions 157 to 525 of the family's 1533-position model. Lineage: Bacteria; Pseudomonadati; Pseudomonadota; Betaproteobacteria; Burkholderiales; Oxalobacteraceae. The record is from RNAcentral.